GACGCUUCUGAGGAAGGCGAGUGUUCGCCGAAACUGUCAAGCAAGAUGUUAAAGGAGGUUUAUUCGUGACGUAUAACCAAUCAAAUCACUCCAGAAGGCAGAGCGACCACAGACAUAUGAUGCUACUCUGGUUGUUCUGGCCCUGGGUCGCUGCACUCCUCCUCUGUUGUUUUCUGGAUUGUACUCAGCUGCAUGUCUUCGUCCACCCGACCUCCGUUGACUCGUCCCGCCUGCCGUCUCUGGAGCUGAAGCUGGAUUGGAACAGACCAAAGUACAGUCCAAUCACGAUGCCAGCUGCCUCUCAAAAGGCUCCUUCAUCUGGCAGGUGGCGGCACUUCUUCUGAGGGGAAGCUGAGCUGGCCCGGCAGAACUUUGGAGAUGUGUUCUAGUGGUUGGUGGAUGUGUGGGGAGAUAGAGAGGGACCUUUGAAUUGUUCACAAAGGAAAACAGGGAACCCAUUGGUAGUUUUAGUUUAGGGUGCUACUGCAGUGUGUUUUUGGGUUUUAAGAGGUGAACAGGAAGAGUUGUUUUUCGUAUUGAUUAUCUUUUACUUUGUUCCUGGUUGGAAUGCCCAUCAAUGUCAAAGUGAAGUUCACUUUUAGUUCUGUUAAUUUAUUUUUAUUUUACUUACACCCAUUUGCUUUUAACCC
Long non-coding RNA from Amphiprion ocellaris (clown anemonefish), 650 nucleotides. The record is from Ensembl. Lineage: Eukaryota; Metazoa; Chordata; Actinopteri; Pomacentridae.